GCCUUCGUAGUGUGAUUGGUAAACACGUCCGACUAGCAAUCCGAAGGUCCGUAGUUCGAAUCCUGGGGAGGACA
Molecule: transfer RNA, 74 nt
Filed under: Stegodyphus mimosarum
Lineage: Eukaryota; Metazoa; Arthropoda; Arachnida; Araneae; Eresidae
Rfam family: tRNA
About the family: Transfer RNA (tRNA) molecules are approximately 80 nucleotides in length. Their secondary structure includes four short double-helical elements and three loops (D, anti-codon, and T loops).
Source: Rfam by way of RNAcentral